Molecule: non-coding RNA, 236 nt
Filed under: Acetobacter aceti
Lineage: Bacteria; Pseudomonadati; Pseudomonadota; Alphaproteobacteria; Acetobacterales; Acetobacteraceae
Source: RNAcentral
AAACCACGUCCCCAUGAUGGUUCCCAUAUGGUGCGUGCAGGUCACGUCCACGGGAUGAAAAGGGAACCGGGUGCGGUGGUUCAUUCACCUAUGCCCGGACUGCCCCCGCAACUGUAAGCGGUCAGGAUGUCCAUCCGGCGUUCACGCCGGCCCACUGGAGGGUUUGUCUCCGGGAAGGGAGUGUCAUCCUUGUCACAGCCGCAAGUCAGGAGACCUGCCAUCAUACCGGAUGUUGC